AAAUAAAAAAUAGCGGUAAGAAAGAAAAGAGAAGAAAAUAAGAGAAGAGAUAACAGAAAAUGGAGAAACUGUUAGAAAGGUUCAUAUGUUGAAGUUAAAAUGUUGGACAGUUAUGUCACCGCGCCUUAAGUCUCGCGUGAGUUACAUCAGCGUAUCGCUGGAGCUUGUGCGCAGAGGUAAGUUAAAAGUUGCUGGUAUCAACUGAGUGUGUUGCUGUGAUUGUGUGCGUCUUUGACACAAAUCCUUAGGCUCCCCAACAGAAACAGUAGGUUUAUUUACAUUU
Molecule: long non-coding RNA, 283 nt
Organism: Syngnathus acus (greater pipefish)
Lineage: Eukaryota; Metazoa; Chordata; Actinopteri; Syngnathiformes; Syngnathidae
Exons: 2
Source: RefSeq, a predicted model, not a curated record